RNAcentral lists this ribosomal RNA (1129 nucleotides) under Atagema cf. osseosa JH-2017. RNAcentral's name for it is "bacterial SSU rRNA". It matches the Rfam family "Eukaryotic small subunit ribosomal RNA", at positions 57 to 1113 of the family's 1831-position model. Lineage: Eukaryota; Metazoa; Mollusca; Gastropoda; Nudibranchia; Discodorididae. The record is from RNAcentral.
GUCCAAGUUCGCCCCCUCCGCACGGGGCAAACUGCGAAUGGCUCAUUAAAUCAGUCGCGGUUCCUUAGGCGAAACGACCGUCUACUCGGAUAACUGUGGCAAUUCCAGAGCUAAUACGUGCCCCGAAGCCCCGACCCCCGCGACGGGGGGAGGGGUGCUUUUAUUAGUUCAAAACCGGCGUCGUCGACGGCCGGCUCCCCCGCCCCGCCUCGGCGGCGGCGGGGGGCCGGUCGGGCGUCUCCCUUUUGAUGACUCUGGAUAAUCGAGUGCUGAUCGCACGGCCUCCGGCGCCGGCGAUGCGUCUUUCAAAUGUCUGACCUAUCAAAUGUCGACGGUACGUGACAUGCCUACCGUGUUGGCGACGGGUGACGGGGAAUCAGGGUUCGAUUCCGGAGAGGGAGCACGAGAAACGGCUACCACAUCCAAGGAAGGCAGCAGGCGCGCAACUUACCCACUCCCGACCCGGGGAGGUAGUGACGAAAAAUAACAAUACGGGACUCGUCAUGAGGCCCCGUAAUUGGAAUGAGCGCAGUCUAAACCCUUGAGCGAGGACCGAUUGGAGGGCAAGUCUGGUGCCAGCAGCCGCGGUAAUUCCAGCUCCAAUAGCGUAUAUUAAAGUUGUUGCAGUUAAAAAGCUCGUAGUUGGAAGUCGGGAGCAGGCGGGCGGUCCGGCUCGCGCCGGCGCGCCGCCCGUUGACCUGCCCCACCCCCGGCCGGCUCUCUCCCGGCGGUGCUCUUGGUUGAGCGUCCCGGGCGGCCGGCGCGUUUACUUUGAAAAAAUUAGAGUGUUCAAGGCGGGCCCGGCGCGCCCGCAUAACCGCGCAUGGAAUAAUGGAAUAGGACCUCGGUUCUAUUUUGCUGGUUUUCGGAGUCCGAGGUAAUGAUUGACAGGGACAAACGGGGGCAUUCGUAUUGCGGCGUUAGAGGUGAAAUUCUUGGAUCGCCGCAAGACGGACUACUGCGAAAGCAUUUGUCAAGAAUGUUUUCAUUAAUCAAGAACGAAAGUCAGAGGCGCGAAGACGAUCAGAUACCGUCGUAGUUCUGACCUUAAACGAUGCCGACCGGCUAUCCGCGGGAGUUGAUUCGAUGACUCCGUGAGCGGCCUCCGGGAAACCUGAGUCUUUGGGUC